GCUGGGUUCGAUGGCACACGCCUGUAAUUCCUGCCAUUAGGGAGGCUGAGGUGGGUGGAUUGCUUGAGCUCAGGAGGUCUGAGCCCCAGGAAUGCUGAGGCCAAUUAGGUACCUGCAUUAAGUCCAGCACCAAUAUGGUGAUCCCCCAGGAGCAGAGGGAUACCAGGCUGCUUAAGGAGAGAUGGACUGGCCAGGGUAGAAAUGGAGAAGCCUCAGUAUUGAUCAGUAAUGAGAUUAAGUCCCUGAGUGACUGCUGUGCUUUCAAACAGGGUGACAUAGGGAGACCUAAACCCCU
This 295-nucleotide signal recognition particle RNA is filed under the name Phascolarctos cinereus (koala). RNAcentral's name for it is "Metazoan signal recognition particle RNA (ENSPCIG00000006800.2)". It matches the Rfam family "Metazoan signal recognition particle RNA". From Rfam's summary of the family: The signal recognition particle (SRP) is a universally conserved ribonucleoprotein. It is involved in the co-translational targeting of proteins to membranes. Lineage: Eukaryota; Metazoa; Chordata; Mammalia; Diprotodontia; Phascolarctidae. The record is from Rfam by way of RNAcentral.